UGGCACUGGGCACCUGUGCCUUAGACAGCAAUCCUGGCCUUUGCUUUGGGAAGCAACACAUUCCUGAAGGGCCACAACAAAAUGGUCAUGGCCACAGCCAAGCAUGCCACAGUGAGCAAGUUGGACAAAUCUUUGAACAGGACGAUUGAAGUGUUUUGGUUUGGUUUGGUUGGAAGACUGUACUAGCUUGCCAGAGGGAAUUCAGAGGAAACCAGAAUAUUUUCCCAAAGAGGAGGUGGUGAAAGGGUGUCUGUCCCUGGUCCUUGUGUUGUGUCAGCAGCAGCACUCAUCCAGCUGUACAACUGCACUGGGGACUGGAUCUGGCUGACUGCUGAGGAUGCAUCUCCCUGUGCUGACAC
Long non-coding RNA from Catharus ustulatus (Swainson's thrush), 359 nucleotides. RefSeq lists it as uncharacterized. Lineage: Eukaryota; Metazoa; Chordata; Aves; Passeriformes; Turdidae. The record is from RefSeq and is a predicted model, not a curated record. The transcript has 3 exons.